Lycium ferocissimum is the source of this 542-nucleotide long non-coding RNA. RefSeq lists it as uncharacterized. The record is from RefSeq and is a predicted model, not a curated record. The transcript has 3 exons. Lineage: Eukaryota; Viridiplantae; Streptophyta; Magnoliopsida; Solanales; Solanaceae.
GGAAAAGAGAGAAUGGUGUACCUGGAGUCAUGCUGGUUAGAAAUUUAUAAUUCAGAGCAGAAAGUGUGUUUUAUACUCUGUACCAAAGCCAAAACCUGUAGCAGCAUUAUGGGGUGAGAAGAAGAAUAGAAAUUAGUGCAGUGAGAAGAGAUUUUUCGUGAAAGGUGAGAAUGAUGGAAUACAGAAAUCAGAAUAAUUUGACUACUUAGAAGCUCUGAUAGGAAAAUAGUUUUAGAAAGUAAGAAGUUGGCUGAGAUCAGUCUUUUCGCCUAAAUGGCAAGUGAACAAAUCCGAGUAGGGAAGAACGUUUAUAUUUCAAACUUUUUGAUGGGAUUUACAAAUUAAAAAAGAGUAGGGAAAAUUUUGGUUUUAACCUAUGAAAAUAAUGGUUUCCAAUUGUGUUAACAAAAAAUGCAGGUCAUCAGUCAGCUUUUCUGAAACAUAUAUUUGCUAGUAUAAACAAAAUAAUAGGUGAAUAAAUCAGGAUAUAACUAAAGACACUAGAACGAAAACACUUCAGUAGCUACAUUGAUACACUACAA